CACCGGCGGCUCGAGUGGUGGCCACUUUUAUUGGGUCUAAAGCGUCCGUAGCCGGCGUGGCAAGUCCCCUGGGAAAUCUGGCGGCUUAACCGUCAGGCGUCCAGAGGAUACUGCCAGGCUUGGGACCGGGAGAGGUGAGAGGUACCUCAGGGGUAGGGGUGAAAUCUUGUGAUCCCUGAGGGACCACCAGUGGCGAAGGCGUCUCACUAGAACGGGUCCGACGGUCAGGGACGAAAGCUGGGGGCACGAACCGG
Molecule: ribosomal RNA, 254 nt
Filed under: uncultured microorganism
Description: partial 16S ribosomal RNA
Rfam family: Archaeal small subunit ribosomal RNA
Source: RNAcentral